Molecule: non-coding RNA, 22 nt
Filed under: Arabidopsis thaliana (thale cress)
Lineage: Eukaryota; Viridiplantae; Streptophyta; Magnoliopsida; Brassicales; Brassicaceae
Source: RNAcentral
UUAAACUUUGGGGUCUUGGUAC